UGUAAAUCUGGUUCACAUUUGUACGGUUGACCUCCCUAUUUAGUUGUGAAUUAAUUCAGUUAAAGUGUACAUCAUUUCUUCGGUGUGUUUCUGGGUGCCUGAGAGGAGGGGUAACCUUCACCGGGGCCUGCGCGUGGUGAGGGAACAUCUCCCCUAUGCAGGCUACCAAACGUCAUUUUUAGAUGGCAGUUUGGGUUAGCUAUGGAGGAUCCACUAACAGCCCACCCUAACAAAC
Molecule: long non-coding RNA, 235 nt
Filed under: Setaria italica (foxtail millet)
Lineage: Eukaryota; Viridiplantae; Streptophyta; Magnoliopsida; Poales; Poaceae
Description: long non-coding RNA (SITA_LNC003150)
Source: RNAcentral